GCCAGCAUGGCCGAGCGGUUAAGGCGGUAGCUUAAGGUGGUAUUACAGUAAUGUGCGUGGGUUCGAAUCCCACUGCUGGUA
RNAcentral lists this transfer RNA (81 nucleotides) under Octopus vulgaris (common octopus). It matches the Rfam family "tRNA". From Rfam's summary of the family: Transfer RNA (tRNA) molecules are approximately 80 nucleotides in length. Their secondary structure includes four short double-helical elements and three loops (D, anti-codon, and T loops). Further hydrogen bonds mediate the characteristic L-shaped molecular structure. tRNAs have two regions of fundamental functional importance: the anti-codon, which is responsible for specific mRNA codon recognition, and the 3' end, to which the tRNAs corresponding amino acid is attached (by aminoacyl-tRNA synthetases). tRNAs cope with the degeneracy of the genetic code in two manners: having more than one tRNA (with a specific anti-codon) for a particular amino acid; and 'wobble' base-pairing, i.e. permitting non-standard base-pairing at the 3rd anti-codon position. Lineage: Eukaryota; Metazoa; Mollusca; Cephalopoda; Octopoda; Octopodidae. The record is from Rfam by way of RNAcentral. RNAcentral also lists the same sequence under 1 other name.